CCUUUAUACUUGAUCAGUUGCAACACAAACCUAACCUUUAGCCGUUCACUUCCUCAAGCUUUCUCUCUCCUCCCUUUUACUCAAAGAUCUCAAACCUUCGAUUCUCUCUCAUCUUCGAUCAUCCUCAGAGGUUAAGGUUGAAGUAUGGCGUGGCGACGCAAGUUCGGAGCAAGAACUAAACGAUUCUGAAUCUGAGAUUGAGGUUGAUCCGAAUAAUCUCUACGGUAGGGUGAACUCAGUUGAAACAUCUUCCUGCAAAAAUAUUCACUAAUGGCCUCGAUAACAGUGCCCUUCAAUGAGUUCAUCUGUUCAUGAGGAAGCAAGAGAGGGUGUGAAAGAGUCUAAACCAGAAGUGUAUAGAGAUCAGAAUUACUCUGUAGCUAAUUUUAAUCAGAAUCAGGGUGGGGAUUCGACGAUGCAGGGUUCGAGGACGAGUGACGGCAAUGUGGAGUCUGGAUCAGAAAAAAGGGGAAAAGAGUGAAGCAGUCAAGAGGAAGCUUGAUAUGCAAUUGGAACAGCAAAGGAUACAGAAAACAACAGGGAGCGGAAAUUCUUCAUCUGUUACUACUAAACUGAAUUCUUCAGAUAAAGAAAACUUUCCAUGUGCAGUGGUUCCAAGAGCAAUGUUUUGAUUGUUAAGGAGGUGAUGGAAAGUGAGGAUUACAAGAAAGAUUCAGUUGGGGAUCACCAAAACUCUUUACGGUUGCUUGAAUUAUUAACAACAAAUGAUUAAGUAGUUUUAAGGAUGCUGCGGAGAAAGAGGAUUAUGAGUUGGAUGAAGUACGAAUUCUUUCUUCUACCAUUCAUAGUAGUACUCUGGGGUACUAAUUAGUUGAUGAUUGAAAAAGGAAAGUUAUUCUAAGUUUCUAACUAUAAACUAUGUUAGCAGAAGUUCUGGCAAUUUUGAAGCAGAACUAUCUAAUUUACAUUUUGUUUUUUUGUCACCUUUCCACAACUGUUGUUUGUGGGAAUGAGAAGCUUUUCCUAUGAUAAUUAUACAAUUUUCUUUGAAACAAUCAACCCUGUUGAUUCUGGUUAACUAAUUCUUUUAA
Molecule: long non-coding RNA, 1052 nt
Organism: Spinacia oleracea (spinach)
Lineage: Eukaryota; Viridiplantae; Streptophyta; Magnoliopsida; Caryophyllales; Amaranthaceae
Exons: 6
Source: RefSeq, a predicted model, not a curated record